This 782-nucleotide ribosomal RNA is filed under the name Dietzia sp. ER-30. RNAcentral describes it as "bacterial SSU rRNA". It matches the Rfam family "Bacterial small subunit ribosomal RNA", at positions 56 to 853 of the family's 1533-position model. The record is from RNAcentral. Lineage: Bacteria; Bacillati; Actinomycetota; Actinomycetes; Mycobacteriales; Dietziaceae.
UGCAAGUCGAACGGUAAGGCCCCUUCGGGGGUACACGAGUGGCGAACGGGUGAGUAACACGUGGGUAAUCUGCCCUGCACUUCGGGAUAAGCCUGGGAAACUGGGUCUAAUACCGGAUAUGAGCUCCUGCCGCAUGGUGGGGGUUGGAAAGUUUUUCGGUGCAGGAUGUGCCCGCGGCCUAUCAGCUUGUUGGUGGGGUAAUGGCCUACCAAGGCGACGACGGGUAGCCGGCCUGAGAGGGUGAUCGGCCACACUGGGACUGAGACACGGCCCAGACUCCUACGGGAGGCAGCAGUGGGGAAUAUUGCACAAUGGGCGGAAGCCUGAUGCAGCGACGCCGCGUGGGGGAUGACGGUCUUCGGAUUGUAAACUCCUUUCAGUAGGGACGAAGCGAGAGUGACGGUACCUGCAGAAGAAGCACCGGCCAACUACGUGCCAGCAGCCGCGGUAAUACGUAGGGUGCAAGCGUUGUCCGGAAUUACUGGGCGUAAAGAGCUCGUAGGCGGUUUGUCACGUCGUCUGUGAAAUCCUCCAGCUCAACUGGGGGCGUGCAGGCGAUACGGGCAGACUUGAGUACUACAGGGGAGACUGGAAUUCCUGGUGUAGCGGUGAAAUGCGCAGAUAUCAGGAGGAACACCGGUGGCGAAGGCGGGUCUCUGGGUAGUAACUGACGCUGAGGAGCGAAAGCAUGGGGAGCAAACAGGAUUAGAUACCCUGGUAGUCCAUGCCGUAAACGGUGGGCGCUAGGUGUGGGGUCCUUCCACGGAUUCCGUGCCGUAGCU